UUAGAUUAAGUUAUUAAGGGCGCACGGUGGAUGCCUUGGCACUAGAAGCCGAUGAAGGACGUUACUAACGACGAUAUGCUUUGGGUAGCUGUAAGUAAGCGUUGAUCCAGAGAUUUCCGAAUGGGGGAACCCAACACAAGUUAUGUUGUGUUAUCGACAAGUGAAUUCAUAGCUUGUCAGAAGGCAGACCCGGAGAACUGAAACAUCUUAGUACCCGGAGGAAGAGAAAGAAAAUUCGAUUCCCUGAGUAGCGGCGAGCGAAACGGGAAGAGCCCAAACCAAUAAGCUUGCUUAUUGGGGUUGUAGGACACUCUAUACGGAGUUACAAAGGAAUAUAUUAAACGAAUCAUCUGGAAAGUUGAAUCAAAGAAGGUAAUAAUCCUGUAGUUGAAAAUAUAUUCUCUCUUGAGUGGAUCCUGAGUACGACGGAGCACGUGAAAUUCCGUCGGAAUCUGGGAGGACCAUCUCCUAAGGCUAAAUACUCUCUAGUGACCGAUAGUGAACCAGUACCGUGAGGGAAAGGUGAAAAGUACCCCGGAAGGGGAGUGAAAGAGAACUUGAAACCGUGUGCUUACAAGUAGUCAGAGCCCGUUAAUGGGUGAUGGCGUGCCUUUUGUAGAAUGAACCGGCGAGUUACGAUCUGAUGCAAGGUUAAGCAGAAAAUGUGGAGCCGUAGCGAAAGCGAGUCUGAAUAGGGCGUAUAGUAUUUGGUCGUAGACCCGAAACCAGGUGAUCUACCCAUGGUCAGGUUGAAGUUCAGGUAACACUGAAUGGAGGACCGAACCGACUUACGUUGAAAAGUGAGCGGAUGAACUGUGGGUAGCGGAGAAAUUCCAAUCGAACUUGGAGAUAGCUGGUUCUCUCCGAAAUAGCUUUAGGGCUAGCCUCAAGUGAUGAUUAUUGGAGGUAGAGCACUGUUUGGACGAGGGGCCCCUCUCGGGUUACCGAAUUCAGACAAACUCCGAAUGCCAAUUAAUUUAACUUGGGAGUCAGAACAUGGGUGAUAAGGUCCGUGUUCGAAAGGGAAACAGCCCAGACCACCAGCUAAGGUCCCAAAAUAUAUGUUAAGUGGAAAAGGAUGUGGCGUUGCCCAGACAACUAGGAUGUUGGCUUAGAAGCAGCCAUCAUUUAAAGAGUGCGUAAUAGCUCACUAGUCGAGUGACACUGCGCCGAAAAUGUACCGGGGCUAAACAUAUUACCGAAGCUGUGGAUUGUCCUUUGGACAAUGGUAGGAGAGCGUUCUAAGGGCGUUGAAGCAUGAUCGCAAGGACAUGUGGAGCGCUUAGAAGUGAGAAUGCCGGUGUGAGUAGCGAAAGACGGGUGAGAAUCCCGUCCACCGAUUGACUAAGGUUUCCAGAGGAAGGCUCGUCCGCUCUGGGUUAGUCGGGUCCUAAGCUGAGGCCGACAGGCGUAGGCGAUGGAUAACAGGUUGAUAUUCCUGUACCACCUAUAAUCGUUUUAAUCGAUGGGGGGACGCAGUAGGAUAGGCGAAGCGUACGAUUGGAUUGUACGUCUAAGCAGUGAGAUUGAGUGUUAGGCAAAUCCGGCACUCUUAAGAUUGAGCUGUGAUGGGGAGAGGAAAUUGUUUCCUCGAGUCGUUGAUUUCACACUGCCGAGAAAAGCCUCUAGAUAGAGAUUAGGUGCCCGUACCGCAAACCGACACAGGUAGUCAAGAUGAGAAUUCUAAGGUGAGCGAGCGAACUCUCGUUAAGGAACUCGGCAAAAUGACCCCGUAACUUCGGGAGAAGGGGUGCUCUUUAGGGUGCAAGCCCAGAAGAGCCGCAGUGAAUAGGCCCAAGCGACUGUUUAUCAAAAACACAGGUCUCUGCUAAACCGUAAGGUGAUGUAUAGGGGCUGACGCCUGCCCGGUGCUGGAAGGUUAAGAGGAGUGGUUAGCUUCUGCGAAGCUACGAAUCGAAGCCCCAGUAAACGGCGGCCGUAACUAUAACGGUCCUAAGGUAGCGAAAUUCCUUGUCGGGUAAGUUCCGACCCGCACGAAAGGCGUAACGAUUUGGGCACUGUCUCAACGAGAGACUCGGUGAAAUCAUAGUACCUGUGAAGAUGCAGGUUACCCGCGACAGGACGGAAAGACCCCGUGGAGCUUUACUGUAGCCUGAUAUUGAAAUUCGGCACAGCUUGUACAGGAUAGGUAGGAGCCUUUGAAACGUGAGCGCUAGCUUACGUGGAGGCGUUGGUGGGAUACUACCCUAGCUGUGUUGGCUUUCUAACCCGCACCACUUAUCGUGGUGGGAGACAGUGUCAGGCGGGCAGUUUGACUGGGGCGGUCGCCUCCUAAAAGGUAACGGAGGCGCUCAAAGGUUCCCUCAGAAUGGUUGGAAAUCAUUCAUAGAGUGUAAAGGCAUAAGGGAGCUUGACUGCGAGACCUACAAGUCGAGCAGGGUCGAAAGACGG
This 2412-nucleotide ribosomal RNA is filed under the name Listeria monocytogenes. RNAcentral describes it as "partial 23S ribosomal RNA". It matches the Rfam family "Bacterial large subunit ribosomal RNA", at positions 1 to 2409 of the family's 2925-position model. Lineage: Bacteria; Bacillati; Bacillota; Bacilli; Caryophanales; Listeriaceae. The record is from RNAcentral.